This 677-nucleotide ribosomal RNA is filed under the name Hydrotalea flava. Its description in RNAcentral is "bacterial SSU rRNA". It matches the Rfam family "Bacterial small subunit ribosomal RNA", at positions 103 to 775 of the family's 1533-position model. The record is from RNAcentral. Lineage: Bacteria; Pseudomonadati; Bacteroidota; Chitinophagia; Chitinophagales; Chitinophagaceae.
CGGGUGCGGAACACGUACACAACCUUCCGGUGAGCGGGGGAUAGCCCAGAGAAAUUUGGAUUAAUACCCCAUACUAUAAUGAUCAGGCAUCUGGUUAUUAUCAAAGGCUUCGGCCGCUUAUUGAUGGGUGUGCGUCUGAUUAGGUAGUUGGCGGGGUAGAGGCCCACCAAGCCUACGAUCAGUAGCUGAUGUGAGAGCAUGAUCACGCCACACGGGCACUGAGACACGGGCCCGACUCCUACGGGAGGCAGCAGUAAGGAAUAUUGGACAAUGGACGCAAGUCUGAUCCAGCCAUGCCGCGUGAAGGAUGAAUGCCCUCUGGGUUGUAAACUUCUUUUACAGGGGAAGAAAGUUAUCUUUUUUAGGAUAUUUGACGGUACCCUAUGAAUAAGCACCGGCUAACUCCGUGCCAGCAGCCGCGGUAAUACGGAGGGUGCAAGCGUUAUCCGGAUUCACUGGGUUUAAAGGGUGCGUAGGCGGGUAUGUAAGUCAGUGGUGAAAUACCGGAGCUUAACUUCGGAACUGCCAUUGAUACUAUAUAUCUUGAAUAUUGUGGAGGUAAGCGGAAUAUGUCAUGUAGCGGUGAAAUGCUUAGAGAUGACAUAGAACACCGAUUGCGAAGGCAGCUUACUACGCAAAUAUUGACGCUGAGGCACGAAAGCGUGGGGAUCAAACAG